UAGGCUCGGACACUGUAGGAGGCAGAUCCU
RNAcentral lists this non-coding RNA (30 nucleotides) under Homo sapiens (human). The record is from RNAcentral. Lineage: Eukaryota; Metazoa; Chordata; Mammalia; Primates; Hominidae.